GCCUCCGUGGCUUAGUUGGGAAAGCAACAGACUAUGGUGCGGUAGCAUUCGGAUUCGAGCCCUGGUGAAGGCA
Molecule: non-coding RNA, 73 nt
Organism: Henosepilachna vigintioctopunctata
Lineage: Eukaryota; Metazoa; Arthropoda; Insecta; Coleoptera; Coccinellidae
Source: the annotation of a GenBank genome assembly